GGUGACAGAGGUUCUGGGUCAGCAACAGGACAAAUUGUAACACAGAAUUUUCAUUUUCAUUUCUGUAACAAGAAGUAUGACUGGCAAGAUUGUCACUUAAGCAUUUUACUUGAGAAGAAACAUCACAUCAAGUAAAAAGGAGAUAAGAAGAAACAACUUGUUAAGAAGAGACAAAGUGUUCUAUUUUACCGAAAGCAUUCCAGGCAUGUAUUACACAGCAUUAUUCACAAUUCAGCAAUCCAGAGGGUGGAGCAUCACAUUCCAGACAACCCUACCUAAAACUGCUGAGAAGAGAAGCUGAGAAUCUUUGAACUUCAACAGAAAAAAAAUAACUUUUCAUCAAGAUUUUUUCCUCUUUUUCUCCUUCUUUUUUUCUUUUCUAUGUUCAAUUGUGACCUUAAUGAUACAUGGACAUUCAUAUAUAUCAUAUUUGUUUUUUUUCUCAUUUCUAGCAUUUUUGAAGCCAGUUGUUUUUCAUAGAUCAGAGUUUUGAGGAGUAGGAUGUUUGAUUAGUAUAUUUUCGUUUUGUUUUGUAUUCUUUUAUUUUUAUUUUUAAGUUUUUACACACACACACACACACACACACACACACACACAUAUAUAUAUAUUUCUCUUACUUGUUUCCCUUGAUUCUCUUUCUUUUCUUCCAUUAACCAUCAAUCUCUAUUGUUCUCUUUCACUCUUCCUUUGUUUUAUUUCUACCUUCUCUCUUCCUCCCUCAUAAUCAUCACAUCCUGUAUCACUUCUGUUUUCUCCCUGUCCACCAUUUGAAACUGUAAACCCUUUUACAAACUUGGUAUUUUUAUUGUAAGCAAUAACUGAUCACAUCCUUUCCAUUUACUAUGAUAAUUAACACUGUAGAUGUUAUAGUAGGAACUAUUUGGUUUAAUGUUGUAUAUUGUUUGCAUUGACUGUUAUUAUUUUUCUUCACCUAAAUGGUGAGGUACUGUAAACCUUCAAGAAAACUACAAGUCCACAGGGUAGAAACUCUACUACCUCAGAUCCAUAUUGCUAGAUGGAUAGACACACAAACAACACGAUAAAGCAAAGGAACAAACUGCACUAAACAAACCAAGAUACUUCAAUAACAGAAUCUAAUAACACCACAGUGGAAGAAAUGCCAGAGAAGGAAUUUAGAAUGUACAUAGUCAGAUUGAUAUGCAAAAUAAAGGACAACAUAAGGAGUGAAAUCAGAAAGAAAAUACAAGAAGUGAAAGAUCACUUCAAUAAAGAUCUAGAGAUCCUGAAAAAAAAUGAAGCAGAAAUCCUGGAAAUGAAGGAAUUAAUAAACCAAAUUAAGAAUUCAAUGGAAAGCAAUGCCAACAGUCACUUGGAAGACAGAAUUUUAGUCAAUGAAGACAAAAUAUAUAAUAUUGAAAACAAAGUUGACCAUGAAGAAAAGAUGUUAAGAGACCACAUGAACAGAACUU
Long non-coding RNA from Marmota monax (woodchuck), 1430 nucleotides. RefSeq lists it as uncharacterized. The record is from RefSeq and is a predicted model, not a curated record. Lineage: Eukaryota; Metazoa; Chordata; Mammalia; Rodentia; Sciuridae. The transcript has 2 exons.